CGGAUUGUAGGCUGAAACUCGCCUACAUGAAGCUGGAGUUGCUAGUAAUCGCGAAUCAGCAUGUCGCGGUGAAUACGUUCCCGGGUCUUGUACACACCGCCCGUCACACCAUGGGAGUUGGUAACGCCCGAAGCCAGUGACCCAACCUUAAGAGGAGGGAGCUGUCGAAGGUGGGACCGAUAACUGGGGUGAAGUCGUAACAAGGUAAC
This 209-nucleotide ribosomal RNA is filed under the name uncultured bacterium. RNAcentral's name for it is "partial 16S ribosomal RNA". It matches the Rfam family "Bacterial small subunit ribosomal RNA", at positions 1294 to 1500 of the family's 1533-position model. The record is from RNAcentral.